Formica exsecta is the source of this 2071-nucleotide long non-coding RNA. RefSeq lists it as uncharacterized. Lineage: Eukaryota; Metazoa; Arthropoda; Insecta; Hymenoptera; Formicidae. The record is from RefSeq and is a predicted model, not a curated record. The transcript has 5 exons.
AUCCCGCUUGGAUUUUCUUCUACCCUAUCUCAUCGGGGUUCUCUCGCACCCCUCCGCCAAAGCCUUGACAUCAUGUCGAGAACACCGGCUCGAUGCUAAAUCAAAAGCGCCGCGCUAAAAAGUCUUCCGCGUAUACACUAUAUUUUCGCUUACCUAACGGGAUCGAGACUAACUUCUUCGAAAUUCUAACAACGGUGAAAUACGAGAAAAAAGUCAUAGAUGAUGUAAUACGAAUAACCCUGCUCAUCGCCCCUCGCUGAUAGUGAGAAAGUUCACUGAGAGAUCUUUCAUUUCAAUAAAACAAUAAAAGUAACAUUCCACCGUUUUCCAGAGAUGUCAAAUAAGUAAAGAUAAGAGACAGAGAGAAAGAUAGAAUAAAAAUAAAAUACAGACAAAUUGUGAAAUCGAAAGAGAAAGAGUCUAAGGAAUAUUUUGUCCCAAGACAGAUGAAAUAAAAGGAGACCAAAGAUACAGAUCUGCAAUAUUUGUGGCGGAUUGCGGCAGAAUGUGAACUUACGCUUUGAUGACUUUUUCAUGGGGCACGAGCAGAGAAUUCCGCACGGCGAUGUAAAUUCGGAAUUCUUUCCGGUACAAAUGCACGUAUAGAUGAGCCUUCUGAACAGGAUAUCAACUGUAUCGAUCUCGACGAUCCGCAACCGAGAUUUCCACGAUUUUCAAGAUUGCAAUGAUUGCGCCAACAUUUCGAUGCCUUUAAUUUCUCUUUGAGUACCCGAGAGACGUUCCAGUGUAAAACGUCAUAACAACACAGUGGAUUCCAAAAUCAUAUGAAAAUCCGGAGCAAUCGCCGUUCGGAGAGAGCUUCCAUUACAUUACCGCUCGCAUAAAAGAUAUUUUCCCGGAUAACCCUUCGAGAAGUGGAUAGCGGUAAUGCAGUAUUCGGCGCGAAUACCGUUUGCCAAAACACGAUCGACGACACUCGUGGCGUUGAAGAGCGCCCGGAGCACCGGAAAGGGUACUUUCGUUUGGAAUGCGGCCAGGGGUGGUUCCGUUCUUGCAAACCCGAUGCAAAUGCUGCACGCGAGAGGCUGCAGUCAAUGCGGUCCGGGAAAAUAACGGUGGACCGAACGUGGUAAAUCGAAGGUGCGUGACAACAUCCGUCAAGUGGAACCGCCGAACGGGAAACGAAUUGCAAGAAUUGGCACUUCCCGCUAGCAGAGAAAUUUAAGAAGACCAUAAUAUUCACUAGCAAGGCAAGAUAUUUCCUCUCUCAACUAAAGCACCAAAAUCGAGAACAACAACAGCGAACCCAAAUUACGAAAGCGGAUGAUAGAGAAGCGCGCGACGGCUUCAUUAACAGCAAUUUAUCACGGAGCCGGGGUGAGCGGGGGUCAACAGCAAGCACCACCAUUAACCGCCUAAGGUCGUUAGGUUGCGGUUUGACAUGAGAACAUGCCCAUAACACCGUUCGGUUAUACGUGUACCCGUCUGUGCCUGCACGGUAAAGCAUAGAGAACCUACGCUUGCGGUGGUGCAAACGCAAGAGGAAGAGGAGGAGGGGGAAAGCGCGACCAGGAGAGAAGGGUUGGCGGAAAGCACGGUGGCAAACGAACGUUAGAGCAAGGGAAUACUUGCCGCUACGUCACGAGCUAACCAUUAGCGGUCGUACCGGGUCUGUGUUUAGACGCUCCGUUAUUGAAUUGGUUACCUACCUACGUUCGCCUGUCCUAGAUAUCGCACCCGAUGUUACACGCUCCGUCGCUAGCAUUAAAACUGACGAGGGUUGUGCGAGAACGCGUCGCAGGCCGCGGAGCAUUAGGUCGAUACGAAAGAGUCUGUCGUCCCUUUCGGCAUUGCUUUAAGUUACUAAUAUUAACUUGCAGACUGCAAGCAAAAAAUAUAUACUAAGUUUUGUAUAUAUUUUCUCUUAAAAGAUUAUAAUUUACUUAUCACAAAAUUUAUUAUGACCUUAUGAUUAAUAAUUCAUCAAAAGCAGCUCUUAGAUAUACAAUAUUUAAGAAAUUAUUUUAGUUAUCUGUUAGAAUAGCUUCAGAGAUGCAACUAAAAAAAAAAAAAAAAUAAAAAAGUGAAAACGUAGUAAUGUUAUGCAAAG